AUUGAACGCUGGCGGAAUGCUUUACACAUGCAAGUCGAACGGCAGCACGGGGGCAACCCUGGUGGCGAGUGGCGAACGGGUGAGUAAUACAUCGGAACGUGCCCGGUCGUGGGGGAUAACGUAGCGAAAGUUACGCUAAUACCGCAUACGAUCUGAGGAUGAAAGCGGGGGACCUUCGGGCCUCGCGCGAUCGGAGCGGCCGAUGUCAGAUUAGGUAGUUGGUGGGGUAAAGGCCUACCAAGCCGACGAUCUGUAGCUGGUCUGAGAGGACGACCAGCCACGCUGGGACUGAGACACGGCCCAGACUCCUACGGGAGGCAGCAGUGGGGAAUUUUGGACAAUGGGCGCAAGCCUGAUCCAGCCAUUCCGCGUGCAGGACGAAGGCCUUCGGGUUGUAAACUGCUUUUGUAUGGAACGAAAAGGCUCUGGCUAAUACCUGGGGCUCAUGACGGUACCGUAAGAAUAAGCACCGGUUAACUACGUG
RNAcentral lists this ribosomal RNA (484 nucleotides) under uncultured bacterium. RNAcentral describes it as "partial 16S ribosomal RNA". It matches the Rfam family "Bacterial small subunit ribosomal RNA", at positions 30 to 507 of the family's 1533-position model. The record is from RNAcentral.